RNAcentral lists this ribosomal RNA (468 nucleotides) under uncultured bacterium. Its description in RNAcentral is "bacterial SSU rRNA". It matches the Rfam family "Bacterial small subunit ribosomal RNA", at positions 28 to 496 of the family's 1533-position model. The record is from RNAcentral.
GAUGAACGCUAGCGGCAGGCCUAAUACAUGCAAGUCGAGGGGCAGCAUUCACUUCGGUGAGAUGGCGACCGGCGCACGGGUGCGUAACGCGUAUGCAACCUACCCUUUACUGCGGGAUAGCCCGGGGAAACUCGGAUUAAUACCGCAUGGUACCAAUUGAGGGCAUCUAAAGAUGGUUAAAGAUUUAUCGGUAAAGGAUGGGCAUGCGUGACAUUAGUUAGUUGGUGAGGUAACGGCUCACCAAGACGACGAUGUCUAGGGGGUCUGAGAGGAUGAUCCCCCACACUGGCACUGAGAUACGGCCAGACUCCUACGGGAGCAGCAGUAGGGAAUAUUGGUCAAUGGGCGAAAGCCUGAACCAGCCAUGCCGCGUGCAGGAGACGGCCUUCUGGGUUGUAAACUGCUUUUUUAUCAGGGAACAAAAGCUCCUGCGGGAGAAAUUGCGUGUACCUGAAGAAUAAGGACCGG